UGGGGAAUAUUGCACAAUGGGCGAAACCCUGAUGCAGCAACGCCGCGUGAAGGAAGAAGGUCUUCGGAUUGUAAACUUCUGUUUUUAGUGACGAAACAAAUGACGGUAGCUAAAGAGGAAGCCACGGCUAACUACGUGCCAGCAGCCGCGGUAAUACGUAGGUGGCAAGCGUUGUCCGGAUUUACUGGGUGUAAAGGGUGCGCAGGCGGGACUGCAAGUUGGAUGUGAAAUCCCGAGGCUUAACCUCGGAACUGCAUCCAAAACUGUAGUUCUUGAGUGGAGUAGAGGUAAGCGGAAUUCCGAGUGUAGCGGUGAAAUGCGUAGAUAUUCGGAGGAACACCAGUGGCGAAGGCGGCUUACUGGGCUCUAACUGACGCUGAGGCACGAAAGUGUGGGUAGCAAACAGG
This 407-nucleotide ribosomal RNA is filed under the name uncultured prokaryote. RNAcentral describes it as "bacterial SSU rRNA". It matches the Rfam family "Bacterial small subunit ribosomal RNA", at positions 355 to 776 of the family's 1533-position model. The record is from RNAcentral. RNAcentral also lists the same sequence under 1 other name.